RNAcentral lists this transfer RNA (95 nucleotides) under Candidatus Komeilibacteria bacterium. Its description in RNAcentral is "tRNA-Ser". It matches the Rfam family "tRNA". Rfam says of the family: Transfer RNA (tRNA) molecules are approximately 80 nucleotides in length. Their secondary structure includes four short double-helical elements and three loops (D, anti-codon, and T loops). Further hydrogen bonds mediate the characteristic L-shaped molecular structure. tRNAs have two regions of fundamental functional importance: the anti-codon, which is responsible for specific mRNA codon recognition, and the 3' end, to which the tRNAs corresponding amino acid is attached (by aminoacyl-tRNA synthetases). tRNAs cope with the degeneracy of the genetic code in two manners: having more than one tRNA (with a specific anti-codon) for a particular amino acid; and 'wobble' base-pairing, i.e. permitting non-standard base-pairing at the 3rd anti-codon position. The record is from RNAcentral. Lineage: Bacteria; Candidatus Komeiliibacteriota.
GGAGAGAUGGCCGAGAGGCUGAAGGCGGCGGUUUGCUAAACCGUUAUACGGGUUUUUAGCCCGUAUCGAGGGUUCGAAUCCCUCUCUCUCCGCCA